Molecule: ribosomal RNA, 497 nt
Filed under: uncultured bacterium
Lineage: Bacteria
Description: partial 16S ribosomal RNA
Rfam family: Bacterial small subunit ribosomal RNA
Source: RNAcentral
GAUGAACGCUGGCGGCGUGCCUAAUACAUGCAAGUCGAGCGAACAGACGAUGAGCUUGCUCCUCUGACGUUAGCGGCGGACGGGUGAGUAACACGUGUAUAACCUACCUAUAAUACUGGUAUAACUUCGGGAAACCGGAGCUAAUACCAGAGAAUAUAUUGAACCGCAUUGUGCAAUAGUGAAAGACGGCUUUGCUGUCUCUUAUAGAUGGAUCCGCGCCGCAUUAGCUAGUUGGUAAGGUAACGGCUUACCAAGGCGACGAUGCGUAGCCGACCUGAGAGGGUGAUCGGCCACACUGGAACUGAGACACGGUCCAGACUCCUACGGGAGGCAGCAGUAGGGAAUGUUCCGCAAUGGGCGAAAGCCUGACGGAGCAACGCCGCGUGAGUGAUGAAGGUCUUCGGAUCGUAAAACUCUGUUAUUGGGGAAGAACAAAUGUGUAAGUAACUAUGCACGUCUUGACGGUACCUAAUAAGAAAGCCCCGGCUAACUACGUG